UACGGAGGGGGCAAGCGUUAUUCGGAAUUAUUGGGCGUAAAGGGCGCGUAGGCGGCUUGACAAGUCAAAGGUGAAAUCCCUCGGCUCAACUGAGGAACUGCCUUUGAAACUGUCUGGCUUGAGGCCGGGAGGGGGUAGCGGAAUUCCCAGUGUAGCGGUGAAAUGCGCAGAUAUUGGGAGGAACACCAGUGGCGAAGGCGGCUACCUGGACCGGUUCUGACGCUGAUGCGCGAAAGCGUGGGUAGCAAACAGG
RNAcentral lists this ribosomal RNA (253 nucleotides) under uncultured bacterium. Its description in RNAcentral is "partial 16S ribosomal RNA". It matches the Rfam family "Bacterial small subunit ribosomal RNA", at positions 524 to 776 of the family's 1533-position model. The record is from RNAcentral.